UGGCAUAUCUAUGUAAUUACUUA
RNAcentral lists this non-coding RNA (23 nucleotides) under Arabidopsis thaliana (thale cress). Lineage: Eukaryota; Viridiplantae; Streptophyta; Magnoliopsida; Brassicales; Brassicaceae. The record is from RNAcentral.